UACGAAGGGGGCUAGCGUUGCUCGGAAUCAUUGGGCGUAAAGCGCGUGUAGGCGGCUCGAUAAGUCUGCUGUGAAAGUCCAGGGCUCAACCCUGGGAUGCCGGUGGAUACUGUCGAGCUCGAGUCCGGAAGAGGCGAGUGGAAUUCCUGGUGUAGCGGUGGAAUGCGCAGAUAUCAGGAAGAACACCCGUGGCGAAGGCGGCUCUCUGGGACGGUACUGACGCUGAGACGCGAAAGCGUGGGGAGCGAACAGG
Molecule: ribosomal RNA, 253 nt
Filed under: uncultured bacterium
Lineage: Bacteria
Description: partial 16S ribosomal RNA
Rfam family: Bacterial small subunit ribosomal RNA
Source: RNAcentral